Small nucleolar RNA from Vicia villosa (hairy vetch), 79 nucleotides. RefSeq annotates it as small nucleolar RNA U31b. Lineage: Eukaryota; Viridiplantae; Streptophyta; Magnoliopsida; Fabales; Fabaceae. The transcript has a single exon. The record is from RefSeq and is a predicted model, not a curated record.
GGAUGUGAUGAUAAUAUUGUCGCCCCAGUCUUAAUUUGCACUAUAGGUGUAACAUGGUGACUGACUCUUUAUCUGAUCC